UACGUAGGGGGCAAGCGUUGUCCGGAAUUAUUGGGCGUAAAGCGCGCGUAGGCGGUCUAUUAAGUCCGAUGUGAAAACUCUCGGCUCAACUGGGAGACUGCAUUGGAAACUGGUAGACUAGAGUCCAGCAGAGGGAAGUGGAAUUCCUAGUGUAGCGGUGAAAUGCGCAGAUAUUAGGAAGAACACCAGUGGCGAAGGCGGCUUCCUGGACUGCGACUGACGCUGAGGUGCGAAAGCUAGGGGAGCGAACAGG
RNAcentral lists this ribosomal RNA (253 nucleotides) under uncultured bacterium. RNAcentral's name for it is "partial 16S ribosomal RNA". It matches the Rfam family "Bacterial small subunit ribosomal RNA", at positions 524 to 776 of the family's 1533-position model. The record is from RNAcentral.